AGUUAUUUAGCUUAUAUAUUUAAAGCAUUUACUUUGAAAGUAAAAGUAAGAUUAUCAUUUAAUAACUU
This 68-nucleotide transfer RNA is filed under the name Balclutha sp. EMHAU-2015-Zz052711. RNAcentral describes it as "tRNA-Ser". It matches the Rfam family "tRNA". Rfam says of the family: Transfer RNA (tRNA) molecules are approximately 80 nucleotides in length. The record is from RNAcentral. Lineage: Eukaryota; Metazoa; Arthropoda; Insecta; Hemiptera; Cicadellidae.